GACGAACGCUGGCGGCGUGCUUAACACAUGCAAGUCGAACGGGAUUUAGUAAACGGAAGCCUCGGUGGAAGAUUACUAAUGAGAGUGGCGAACGGGUGAGUAACGCGUGAGCAACCUGCCUAUGACAGUGGGAUAGCCUCGGGAAACCGGGAUUAAUACCGCAUAAAAUCGUAGAAACACAUGUUUCAACGGUCAAAGAUUUAUCGGUCAUAGAUGGGCUCGCGUCUGAUUAGCUAGUUGGUGAGAUAACAGCCCACCAAGGCGACGAUCAGUAGCCGGUCUGAGAGGAUGAACGGCCACAUUGGAACUGAGACACCGUCCCAACUCCUACGGGAGGCAGCAGUGGGGAAUAUUGCACAAUGGGGGAAACCCUGAUGCAGCGACGCCGCGUGAACAAAGAAGGUAUUCGUAUCGUAAAGUUCUGUCCUAUGGGAAGAUAAUGACAGUACCAUAGAAGAAAGCUCCGGCUAAAUACGUG
Molecule: ribosomal RNA, 478 nt
Filed under: uncultured bacterium
Lineage: Bacteria
Description: partial 16S ribosomal RNA
Rfam family: Bacterial small subunit ribosomal RNA
Source: RNAcentral